This 408-nucleotide ribosomal RNA is filed under the name uncultured bacterium. RNAcentral's name for it is "partial 16S ribosomal RNA". It matches the Rfam family "Bacterial small subunit ribosomal RNA", at positions 28 to 526 of the family's 1533-position model. The record is from RNAcentral.
GACGAACGCUGGCGGCGUGCUUAACACAUGCAAGUCGAACGAAGUGGCGAACGGGUGAGUAAUACGUGAGUAACCUGCCCUCCUUUUUGGGAUAAGCCUUGGAAACGGGGUCUAAUACCGAAUAAAGGGGGAUGGGCUCGCGGCCUAUCAGCUUGUUGGUGGGGUGAUGUCCUACCAAGGCGGUGACGGGUAGCCGGCCUGAGAGGGUGACAGGCGACAUUGGGACUGAGAUACGGCCCAGACGACUACGGGAGGCAGCAGUUGGGGAUAUGGGACAAUGGGCGAAAGCCUGACGCAGCGAGGACGCGGGGGGGAUGAAGGCUUUCGGGUUGUAAACCUCUUUCGCGAUCGAACGGGUAGGUGAAGAAGAAGCGACGGCUAACUACGUGCCAGCAGCCGCGGUAAUAC